AGAGUUUGAUCCUGGCUCAGGAUGAACGCUAGCUACAGGCUUAACACAUGCAAGUCGAGGGGAAACGACAUCGAAAGCUUGCUUUUGAUGGGCGUCGACCGGCGCACGGGUGAGUAACACGUAUCCAACCUACCGAUAACUCGGGGAUAGCCUUUCGAAAGAAAGAUUAAUACCCGAUAGUAUAAUCAGACCGCAUGGUUUGAUUAUUAAAGAAUUUCGGUUAUCGAUGGGGAUGCGUUCCAUUAGGCAGUUGGUGAGGUAACGGCUCACCAAACCUUCGAUGGAUAGGGGUUCUGAGAGGAAGGUCCCCCACAUUGGAACUGAGACACGGUCCAAACUCCUACGGGAGGCAGCA
RNAcentral lists this ribosomal RNA (355 nucleotides) under uncultured bacterium. Its description in RNAcentral is "bacterial SSU rRNA". It matches the Rfam family "Bacterial small subunit ribosomal RNA", at positions 8 to 353 of the family's 1533-position model. The record is from RNAcentral.